AUGGCGGCGGCGGCGGAGGGGCUGGCGGCGUAUCGGGCGGUGUUGCGGGCGGCGCGGCGGACGUUCUCAGGCGACCAGCUGAUGCUGACGGAGUCGGCGGUGGAGAUCCGGCGCCGCUUCGAGGAUCACCGCGGCCUCGCCCCGGGAUCGGAGGACGCCGUCCGCGCCCUCUCCGAGGCCCGCGAGGCCGCGGACUUCAUCGCCAACAUGAUCGUCCAGGCCAAGCGCUCACCCUCCGGAUCCUUCGUUGUGAAGCCUGAGAAGGCACAUGCCGGAGCUACGCUUGAGAUUCCUUCCGAGGAGACCCUGUCUACGUUGAAAUAG
This 324-nucleotide ribosomal RNA is filed under the name Triticum aestivum (bread wheat). Its description in RNAcentral is "partial small subunit ribosomal RNA". Lineage: Eukaryota; Viridiplantae; Streptophyta; Magnoliopsida; Poales; Poaceae. The record is from RNAcentral.